GUACACAAAAAUGCACAUAUUGUGAGCUCGAUGAGUAGGGCGGGACACGUGGUAUCCUGUCUGAAUAUGGGGGGACCAUCCUCCAAGGCUAAAUACUCCUGACUGACCGAUAGUGAACCAGUACCGUGAGGGAAAGGCGAAAAGAACCCCGGCGAGGGGAGUGAAAAAGAACCUGAAACCGUGUACGUACAAGCAGUGGGAGCCUCUUUAUGGGGUGACUGCGUACCUUUUGUAUAAUGGGUCAGCGACUUAUAUUCUGUAGCAAGGUUAACCGAAUAGGGGAGCCGAAGGGAAACCGAGUCUUAACUGGGCGUUAAGUUGCAGGGUAUAGACCCGAAACCCGGUGAUCUAGCCAUGGGCAGGUUGAAGGUUGGGUAACACUAACUGGAGGACCGAACCGACUAAUGUUGAAAAAUUAGCGGAUGACUUGUGGCUGGGGGUGAAAGGCCAAUCAAACCGGGAGAUAGCUGGUUCUCCCCGAAAGCUAUUUAGGUAGCGCCUCGUGAAUUCAUCUCCGGGGGUAGAGCACUGUUUCGGCAAGGGGGUCAUCCCGACUUACCAACCCGAUGCAAACUGCGAAUACCGGAGAAUGUUAUCACGGGAGACACACGGCGGGUGCUAACGUCCGUCGUGAAGAGGGAAACAACCCAGACCGCCAGCUAAGGUCCCAAAGUCAUGGUUAAGUGGGAAACGAUGUGGGAAGGCCCAGACAGCCAGGAUGUUGGCUUAGAAGCAGCCAUCAUUUAAAGAAAGCGUAAUAGCUCACUGGUCGAGUCGGCCUGCGCGGAAGAUGUAACGGGGCUAAACCAUGCACCGAAGCUGCGGCAGCGACACUAUGUGUUGUUGGGUAGGGGAGCGUUCUGUAAGCCUGUGAAGGUGGCCUGUGAGGGUUGCUGGAGGUAUCAGAAGUGCGAAUGCUGACAUAAGUAACGAUAAAGCGGGUGAAAAGCCCGCUCGCCGGAAGACCAAGGGUUCCUGUCCAACGUUAAUCGGGGCAGGGUGAGUCGACCCCUAAGGCGAGGCCGAAAGGCGUAGUCGAUGGGAAACAGGUUAAUAUUCCUGUACUUGGUGUUACUGCGAAGGGGGGACGGAGAAGGCUAUGUUGGCCGGGCGACGGUUGUCCCGGUUUAAGCGUGUAGGCUGGUUUUCCAGGCAAAUCCGGAAAACCAAGGCUGAGGCGUGAUGACGAGGCACUACGGUGCUGAAGCGACAAAUGCCCUGCUUCCAGGAAAAGCCUCUAAGCAUCAGGUAACAUCAAAUCGUACCCCAAACCGACACAGGUGGUCAGGUAGAGAAUACCAAGGCGCUUGAGAGAACUCGGGUGAAGGAACUAGGCAAAAUGGUGCCGUAACUUCGGGAGAAGGCACGCUGAUAUGUAGGUGAAGCGACUUGCUCGUGGAGCUGAAAUCAGUCGAAGAUACCAGCUGGCUGCAACUGUUUAUUAAAAACACAGCACUGUGCAAACACGAAAGUGGACGUAUACGGUGUGACGCCUGCCCGGUGCCGGAAGGUUAAUUGAUGGGGUUAGCGGUAACGCGAAGCUCUUGAUCGAAGCCCCGGUAAACGGCGGCCGUAACUAUAACGGUCCUAAGGUAGCGAAAUUCCUUGUCGGGUAAGUUCCGACCUGCACGAAUGGCGUAAUGAUGGCCAGGCUGUCUCCACCCGAGACUCAGUGAAAUUGAACUCGCUGUGAAGAUGCAGUGUACCCGCGGCAAGACGGAAAGACCCCGUGAACCUUUACUAUAGCUUGACACUGAACAUUGAGCCUUGAUGUGUAGGAUAGGUGGGAGGCUUUGAAGUGUGGACGCCAGUCUGCAUGGAGCCGACCUUGAAAUACCACCCUUUAAUGUUUGAUGUUCUAACGUUGGCCCGUAAUCCGGGUUGCGGACAGUGUCUGGUGGGUAGUUUGACUGGGGCGGUCUCCUCCUAAAGAGUAACGGAGGAGCACGAAGGUUGGCUAAUCCUGGUCGGACAUCAGGAGGUUAGUGCAAUGGCAUAAGCCAGCUUGACUGCGAGCGUGACGGCGCGAGCAGGUGCGAAAGCAGGUCAUAGUGAUCCGGUGGUUCUGAAUGGAAGGGCCAUCGCUCAACGGAUAAAAGGUACUCCGGGGAUAACAGGCUGAUACCGCCCAAGAGUUCAUAUCGACGGCGGUGUUUGGCACCUCGAUGUCGGCUCAUCACAUCCUGGGGCUGAAGUAGGUCCCAAGGGUAUGGCUGUUCGCCAUUUAAAGUGGUACGCGAGCUGGGUUUAGAACGUCGUGAGACAGUUCGGUCCCUAUCUGCCGUGGGCGCUGGAGAACUGAGGGGGGCUGCUCCUAGUACGAGAGGACCGGAGUGGACGCAUCACUGGUGUUCGGGUUGUCAUGCCAAUGGCACUGCCCGGUAGCUAAAUGCGGAAGAGAUAAGUGCUGAAAGCAUCUAAGCACGAAACUUGCCCCGAGAUGAGUUCUCCCUGACUCCUUGAGAGUCCUGAAGGAACGUUGAAGACGACGACGUUGAUAGG
RNAcentral lists this ribosomal RNA (2502 nucleotides) under Escherichia coli. Its description in RNAcentral is "partial 23S ribosomal RNA". It matches the Rfam family "Bacterial large subunit ribosomal RNA", at positions 375 to 2860 of the family's 2925-position model. The record is from RNAcentral. Lineage: Bacteria; Pseudomonadati; Pseudomonadota; Gammaproteobacteria; Enterobacterales; Enterobacteriaceae.